GACGAAGGAUGCAAGCGUUAUCCGGAUUCAUUGGGUUUAAAGGGAGCGUAGGCGGCCUUAUAAGUCAGUGGUGAAAUCUUUGGGCUUAACCCAAAAAAUUGCCAUUGAUACUGUAGGGCUUGAGUACAGUUGCUGUGGGCGGAAUAUGACAUGUAGUGGUGAAAUACAUAAGAGAUGUCAUAGAACACCGAUUGCGAAGGCAGCUCACAAAAACUGUAACUGACGCUGAGGCUCGAAAGUGCGGGGAUCAAACAGG
This 256-nucleotide ribosomal RNA is filed under the name uncultured bacterium. Its description in RNAcentral is "partial 16S ribosomal RNA". It matches the Rfam family "Bacterial small subunit ribosomal RNA", at positions 524 to 776 of the family's 1533-position model. The record is from RNAcentral.